Molecule: long non-coding RNA, 3090 nt
Filed under: Olea europaea subsp. europaea
Lineage: Eukaryota; Viridiplantae; Streptophyta; Magnoliopsida; Lamiales; Oleaceae
Source: RNAcentral
CGAGAUUUUCAGGUGAUAUUUUUUGGUAACAUCAUUGGCACCGUCUGUGGGAAUUUCGCUACCAAAAGCCAUGGUCAAUACAAGUUUAGGUCUUUCUCCAGCAAGCUCAUCCGUCCCGGAUAACCCUCCACCUCCUGAGGAACACCAUAUUCCUCAAGAAGAGUCGUCGGGGAUGCCAGCACCUCCUCAAGCUGUUGUUUCCACCGGAGCUUUUGAGGAACUUCGCCAGCAGGUGGUUGCAUUGAUCCAACUGCUAAGUCAGAGAAAUUCGCAUCCAUCUCACACCCCAACACCUGAAGGUGGCUUUAUGGCAGAUGCCAGGACUCGAGUUCAUCAUGCAACCCAUGAUGACGGUGGGGUUGGAACCUCAGGGUACCACAAGUUGCAUCAGGUUCAAGGUCCGUUACAAUAGUCUCCGCCGAACUUGCAAGAAUUAUUCAAGAAGGGAUAGCAGCGGGUCUGCAACAAAAUACUCGGGUAGCAACAGGGUUUACCCCCAAUACACCAUUCACUCCAGAAGUCCUUUCAUACCCCCUUCCCAAUAGGUUCAAAUAUCCUCGAAUAAAGGAGUACGACGGGACAACCGACCCCAUCAACCAUCUCAAUGUAUACACGGAUAUCAUGAACUUACAGGUUGCACCAGAUGCGGUAAUGUGCAAGGCAUUCCCUCAAACCCUCACGAAUGCGGCUAGAGAUUGGUUUUCCACAUUGGAACCGAACUCCGUCACCUCCUUCUCAGAUUUGGCUGACAAGUUCUCCGCUUUUUUUGCGAGCAGCAAAAGAAUCAGAAAGACAGCUGCAUCGCUCAUGCAGAUGCGUCAAGGACCCAACGAAACACUGCGCAGUUUCAUGACCAGGUUCAACAAAGAAAGGCUUCAGAUCCCCGAUCUACAUAUCACAGCUGCAGUCUCAGCUCUGACUUACGCCAUUAAGUGCGAAGUGUUCAAAAUGUCCUUGUCUAAAACCCCGCCAAAGUCAGUAACCGAGCUACUCACACCGGCUGAGAAAUACAUCAAUAUGGAAGAAACCAUGGCCCCAAAAAGGGAAGAUACCUCAUCAGGGAGGUUGGAUCAGAAAAGGCCACAUGAGUCCAGCGUAAGACAAGGGACACCUAGGGUCAAACCAAGAAAGGAUCCACCUUCAACGGCUUUUACCCAUCUGAACACUUCGAGGUCCAACAUCCUCAUGGAGAUCAAAGACUCUAGGGAACUGAAAUGGCCUCCCCGAUUGCGGUCUCCCCCCGAUACACGUGACAAGAGCAAAUACUGUGAUUUCCAUAGGGAUCACGGCCAUACCACAGAAGAUUGUCUGGCCUUAAAAGCGGGAAAUCGAAGCUCUUAUAAGAAGAGGAUUUCUGAGCUCUUACAUUAACAAUGACAAACGCCCGAAGAAUAAUCAGAAUGGGGGAAAAGGCCCAGAGGAUUGGGGAAACAAGCAACCAACUGCAGGCACUAUCAAUAUCAUUGUCGGAGGAACAGCCUCGGGAGGAGACUCUAGCAGUGGGCGAAAACAGUAUGCCAGAUAGCCAUCGAUCAUCUCAAGACCAGAUCUUGGUCGUACAGAGGACAUCAGUUUUGGAAUGGAUGACUUGGAAGGCGUAGCAUUCCCCCAUGAUGAUGCCCUUGUCAUAUCGGCCAUCAUCGCCAACUUUGAAGUCAAGAGAAUUCUGGUAGAUAACGAAAGUGCAGCAAACGUACUCUCUCACGAAGCUUUUGUUCAAAUGGGGAUCUCGUCAGAACAACUAAAGCCAGUGAAAACACCCCUGCAAGGGUUUGGAGGUGGGGUCAUCACCCUGGAAGGUAUCGUCGGGUUACCCUUAACAUUAGGAACCGAAGGUAAGCAGGUAACGCAGAUCACUACCUUCGAAGUCGUCCGUACGCCGAUGGUUUACAACGCCAUAUUGGGAAGACCAAUGCACAACAGAAUUCGAGCUAUUGUUUCAACUUUUCAUCUGGCUAUGAAAUUCCCUAAUUUUACAAAGUGGGUAGAAGCCGAACCUCUAGCAACAAUUUCAAAACCGAAGCUCGGAUCAUUUAUAUGGAAAUCCAUCAUAUGCAGAUUUGGGAUACCAAGAGUCCUCAUCACAGAUAAUGGAAGACAAUUCGACAAUCCCCAGUUCAAGAACUUCUGCGCCAGCAAUGGGAUUGAUCAUCGCCUGACCUCGGUCUCACACCCACAAAGUAAUGGGUUAGCCGAAGUAACUAAUCGAAUCAUAUUGCAGGACCUCCGAACAAGGAUAGGGGACGCCAAAGGUGACUGGCUUGACAUGCUGCCCUCGAUACUGUGGGCAUAUAGGACUUUACACAAGACAGCAACUGGUGAAACGCCAUUCAUGCUUGCUUUUGGACUUGAGGCUACCAUUCCAAUUGAGGUUACCCUCCCCACAAUAAGAAAGCUCGAGACGAAUAAGGAGACACAAACUACCGAACAUCUCGACUUGCUUGAAGAGGUAAGGGAGCAAGCUUUCCUUAGGACUGCAAGUUACCAAAACAGAACGGCAAAGCACUUCAAUAAGAAGGUCAAGAACAGGAGAUUUAGAGCCGGCGAUCUUGUCCUAAGGAGAGCAGAAGUCGCUGGGCACCAACCAGGAAAGCUUGGGCCAACAUGGGAAGGUUCCUACGAGGUUAUAAGAAAACUUAAAGGGGGAGCUUAUAGCCUCAGAGAUACAUCAGGGAAUCCACCCCCAAGGCCAUGGAACGCCAACAAUCUGAAAAUAUAUUACAAGUGAUUAGCUAUAUGUCACAGGCCUAGUUUCGUUACACCCGCACAAACUAGAACCGUGCAGCCUUAACGUUCUACAAUUCCCGCACCUCACGAGAAAACGUUAAUUCAGCCUUUCCACGCCCACAAAUAAUUUAACCAAUAAGGCUAAAUUAUACCCACGUUAAAAAGAGAAUUUGGAAGUAAGUAAUAUAUGGAAAACAAGUAAGGAUGGGGGAAACUUUCUUUGUAUAAAUGAAAUGAAAAACUUUACAAUCUCUCUUGAAAGAAUAAACUCACUCACUCUACAUUCUCUACCAUCUACUCCCUCCCAUUUACAAAUGCCACUACAUCUCUAUUUAUAGGAAAACUAAACCUCCUUAACAUUCC